GAUGAACGCUGGCGGCGUGCCUAAUACAUGCAAGUCGAGCGAACAGACGAGGAGCUUGCUCCUUUGACGUUAGCGGCGGACGGGUGAGUAACACGUAGGUAACCUACCUAUAAGACUGGGAUAACUUCGGGAAACCGGAGCUAAUACCGGAUAAUAUUUCGAACCGCAUGGUUCGAUAGUGAAAGAUGGCUUUGCUAUCACUUAUAGAUGGACCUGCGCCGUAUUAGCUAGUUGGUAAGGUAACGGCUUACCAAGGCAACGAUACGUAGCCGACUUGAGAGGGUGAUCGGCCACACUGGAACUGAGACACGGUCCAGACUCCUACGGGAGGCAGCAGUAGGGAAUCUUCCGCAAUGGGCGAAAGCCUGACGGAGCAACGCCGCGUGAGUGAUGAAGGUCUUCGGAUCGUAAAACUCUGUUAUUAGGGAAGAACAAACGUGUAAGUAACUGUGCACGUCUUGACGGUACCUAAUCAGAAAGCCACGGCUAACUACGUG
This 497-nucleotide ribosomal RNA is filed under the name uncultured bacterium. Its description in RNAcentral is "partial 16S ribosomal RNA". It matches the Rfam family "Bacterial small subunit ribosomal RNA", at positions 28 to 507 of the family's 1533-position model. The record is from RNAcentral.